This 244-nucleotide ribosomal RNA is filed under the name uncultured bacterium. RNAcentral describes it as "partial 16S ribosomal RNA". It matches the Rfam family "Bacterial small subunit ribosomal RNA", at positions 1258 to 1500 of the family's 1533-position model. The record is from RNAcentral.
UGAGGCGGAGCAAAACAACAAAACAACAGUCUCAGUUCAGAUUGUAGGCUGAAACUCGCCUAUAUGAAGUCGGAAUUGCUAGUAAUCGCGGAUCAGCAUGCCGCGGUGAAUACGUUCCCGGGCCUUGUACACACCGCCCGUCACACCAUGAGAGUCGAUAACACCCGAAGCCUGUAGUCUAACAGCAAUGAGGACGCAGUCGAAGGUGGGAUUGAUAAUUAGGGUGAAGUCGUAACAAGGUACC